GAAGCCGGCCAGACGGUCGCCGCGUACCUUCGGGUACGGGGAGGAAAGUCCGGGCUCCGCAGAGCAGGGUGACGGCUAACGGCCGUACGUAAUAGUCGAAGGCUUGCCUUUGGCGAAGACGAGGAAUAGGGCCACAGAGACGAGUCGCUGCAGAAGAUCGCAGCGGGUGAAACGCGGUAACCUCCACCCGGAGCAACACCAAAUAGGCGGAUGCUGCACGCGCAGUCCUGGCGUGCUGUGAGCGGCUCGCUCAAGUCCGCGGGUAGGUGGCUGGAGCCCUGGGGUAACCCAGGGCCUAGAGGAAUGACCGUCAUAGGGAGCAAUCCCCGUAACAGAACCCGGCUUAUCGGCCGGCUUCACUU
Molecule: RNase P RNA, 362 nt
Filed under: Burkholderiales bacterium
Lineage: Bacteria; Pseudomonadati; Pseudomonadota; Betaproteobacteria; Burkholderiales
Description: RNase P RNA component class A
Rfam family: Bacterial RNase P class A
About the family: Ribonuclease P (RNase P) is a ubiquitous endoribonuclease, found in archaea, bacteria and eukarya as well as chloroplasts and mitochondria. Its best characterised activity is the generation of mature 5'-ends of tRNAs by cleaving the 5'-leader elements of precursor-tRNAs. Cellular RNase Ps are ribonucleoproteins.
Source: RNAcentral